UAUUGGUCAAUGGACGCAAGUCUGAACCAGCUAUGCCGCGUGAAGGAUUAAGGUCCUCUGGAUUGUAAACUUCUUUUAUCUGGGACGAAAAAAGGUCUUUCUAGACCCCUUGACGGUACCAGAUGAAUAAGCACCGGCUAACUCCGUGCCAGCAGCCGCGGUAAUACGGAGGGUGCAAGCGUUAUCCGGAUUCACUGGGUUUAAAGGGUGCGUAGGCGGGUAGGUAAGUCAGUGGUGAAAUCCUGGAGCUCAACUCCAGAACUGCCGUUGAUACUAUCUAUCUUGAAUAUUGUGGAGGUAAGCGGAAUAUGUCAUGUAGCGGUGAAAUGCUUAGAUAUGACAUAGAACACCCAUUGCGAAGGCAGCUUACUACGCAUAUAUUGACGCUGAGGCACGAAA
RNAcentral lists this ribosomal RNA (399 nucleotides) under uncultured bacterium. RNAcentral's name for it is "bacterial SSU rRNA". It matches the Rfam family "Bacterial small subunit ribosomal RNA", at positions 362 to 758 of the family's 1533-position model. The record is from RNAcentral.